Molecule: long non-coding RNA, 1081 nt
Organism: Amphimedon queenslandica
Lineage: Eukaryota; Metazoa; Porifera; Demospongiae; Haplosclerida; Niphatidae
Exons: 2
Source: RefSeq, a predicted model, not a curated record
UAGUUAAUCCAGUCUGACACAGUCAGUGCUAAUUGUGCCUCUCGCUGCAAGUCUUUGGGUAUACCCUACUAUCGAUUCAGCCCUCAUCUCAAGGAGAAGGUUUCAGUUUUCGAAACCGAGACUCGUAAACUCUUAAACUCGGUAUUACGUACCAGGAUUGAGCUACAGAACAUGCGGUGUGGCUUUGAAGAACUUAAAGAAUAUUUUGUAAAAAUCACAAAGACCUACACUGCUUCUGGAAGUGGCCUGGGGGGAGCUUCCUGUAUGUUCACAACCAGCGACGCCCUCUCACCUUCUGAUCUGGUACCUCACACUAAAUCAACUGAAACCAACUCAUCAGAUGAUGAUCUGCAACGAAAGCACUUUCUAUGGCGAUGCAAGUGUUCCAAUCAGAUAUGAAUUCACCAGAUAUAAUUAUUGCAUCCAUCACUCACCUACUCCUCUUCCCCAGCUCAUGCAGUAUCCUGUUUCAUUUCAGUCACCACUCACAGUGUCACAUAUAUAUAGUUCAUGCAUACAGUACUCUCACAUGCAUUUAUGGAAAAAUGAACAAUAAAAGUCAAAAAUAUAAAAACUAAAAAGGAAUCAAAUUCAGGCUUGCAAGUUUAGAACUCACCUCCAAUAAAUUAGUAUCCAUGCACCUAAUACACACAACAUACACUGUAGAUACAAUUCAUUGUUUUGUGCACCUUUCAUUCAGUAUCACACUGAUGCAUACAUUACUUAAGAGAAAUGAUUACCUUGCCCAUAUUAUUAUUAUUAUUAUUAUUAUUAUUCAGUUAUUAUCCUCAUGCUCUUAAUCCUCUAACAAGAUUCUCAUUACUGUAAUUAUUAUUAUGAUUGUUAUAUAUUAUCCACCUUAAGUAUCAUAGCUCAGUAUGUUAUUGUGUGAAUUUGACAUCUUUGUUAUCCCCUCAUUUUAAUCUUUAUUAUUACCAUUAUUAUUUUUUAUCUAAUCUAAUAUUAUUAUUAUUAUUAUUCAUUAUUGUUAUUAUUAUUAUUAUCAUUCAUCUAUGUAGCAGCAUCACCAUCACAUUUCCUUUUUUGUAUUAUACAAUAAAUUUGAUUAUAAAACUCUCAA